RNAcentral lists this ribosomal RNA (497 nucleotides) under uncultured bacterium. RNAcentral's name for it is "partial 16S ribosomal RNA". It matches the Rfam family "Bacterial small subunit ribosomal RNA", at positions 28 to 507 of the family's 1533-position model. The record is from RNAcentral.
GAUGAACGCUGGCGGCGUGCCUAAUACAUGCAAGUCGAGCGAACGGACGAGAAGCUUGCUUCUCUGAUGUUAGCGGCGGACGGGUGAGUAACACGUGGAUAACCUACCUAUAAGACUGGGAUAACUUCGGGAAACCGGAGCUAAUACCGGAUAAUAUUUUUAACCGCAUGUUUCAAAAGUGAAAGACGGUCUUGCUGUCACUUAUAGAUGGAUACGCGCUGCAUUAGCUAGUUGGUAAGGUAACGGCUUACCAAGGCAACGAUGCAUAGCCGACCUGAGAGGGGGAUCGGCCACACUGGAACUGAGACACGGUCCAGACUCCUACGGGGGGCAGCAGUAGGGAAUCUUCCGCAAUGGGCGAAAGCCUGACGGAGCAACGCCGCGUGAGUGAUGAAGGUCUUCGGAUCGUAAAACUCUGUUAUUAGGGAAGAACAUAUGUGUAAGUAACUGUGCACAUCUUGACGGUACCUAAUCAGAAAGCCACGGCUAACUACGUG